This 475-nucleotide ribosomal RNA is filed under the name uncultured bacterium. RNAcentral's name for it is "SSU rRNA". It matches the Rfam family "Bacterial small subunit ribosomal RNA", at positions 26 to 518 of the family's 1533-position model. The record is from RNAcentral.
AGGACGAACGCUGGCGGCGUGCUUAACACAUGCAAGUCGAGCGAGGCUCCUCCUUCGGGAGGAUGCCCUAGCGGCGAACGGGUGAGUAACACGUGGGCAACCUGCCCCUAGCACUGGGAUAACCCCGGGAAACCGGGGCUAAUACCGGAUACGACUUCGGAAGGCAUCUUCUGAAGUGGAAAAGGUUACUGGCUAGGGAUGGGCCCGCGGCCUAUCAGCUUGUUGGUGGGGUAAUGGCCCACCAAGGCGACGACGGGUAGCCGGCCUGAGAGGGCGACCGGCCACACUGGGACUGAGACACGGCCCAGACUCCUACGGGAGGCAGCAGUGGGGAAUAUUGCACAAUGGGCGAAAGCCUGAUGCAGCGACGCCGCGUGAGGGAUGACGGCCUUCGGGUUGUAACCUCUUUCAGCCCUGACGAAGCGAAGUGACGGUAGGGCAGAGAAGCACCGGCCAACUACGCGCCAGCAGCCGC